Lactuca sativa (garden lettuce) is the source of this 452-nucleotide long non-coding RNA. RefSeq lists it as uncharacterized. Lineage: Eukaryota; Viridiplantae; Streptophyta; Magnoliopsida; Asterales; Asteraceae. The record is from RefSeq and is a predicted model, not a curated record.
AUUUCAAACACAUUGAAUGCCCAUAAAAUCCUCCUCGAUUUCUACUUUCUCCCUCUCCAUCUCCUCCGUGAAAUAGUUGUUUCACGCUGCACAUUUCUUCUUCAUCAAUUCUACAACAAUGACGACAUCAAAGAAAGUUGCAGAAAAGAAAGUUGCAAAGUUUGAGAAAAAUAUUACAAAAAGAAGAUUGGGUCCAAUGGCUUCAAAAAAAAUGAAAACAGAGCUUUAUGUGCUUGCUUUCUUCGUUUUAGUGGUGGUUGGAUCUUUUAUAUUUCAGAUUAUCAGGCUGACAUUGACGGGAUGACAAGUUACAUGGGUCAAAUGCUCAAUUAAAUUUAAAAUCAAUUGUCUUUAACUUCUAAUAAAAAAUGCAUUGUAUCUAAGCAUCUUGUCAUAAUAACCGUUGUUUUUACAUAUUUCAAUGGUUUCAUGUUGUGUUGAAAAAAAAAAUA